Molecule: ribosomal RNA, 174 nt
Filed under: uncultured bacterium
Lineage: Bacteria
Description: partial 16S ribosomal RNA
Rfam family: Bacterial small subunit ribosomal RNA
Source: RNAcentral
CCUACGGGAGGCAGCAGUGGGGAAUAUUGCACAAUGGGCGCAAGCCUGAUGCAGCGACGCCGCGUGAGGGAUGACGGCCUUCGGGUUGUAAACCUCUUUCAGUGGGGAAGAAGCGAAAGUGACGGUACCUGCAGAAGAAGCGCCGGCUAACUACGUGCCAGCAGCCGCGGUAAU